AUGGUCCUCCAGAAUGGUUUGGUAGUCCUGAUGCGCCAAAUUUAGCCAUGAAACGUCCAAUACCAAAUUGGCAAGUGUUUCAGUUUAAAAUAUACAGAAUCCCUACUUGGUGUCUGACAAGUAUAUUGUGGUAUUAGUACUAAAUGCUGCUUUGUUUUGUCUCAUCACACUCUGCCAAUGCUAUCAUUCCAUUCCCCAACCCCCCUUCGAUGGCAUCAGGUUUUUCCAGCAGGAUAUUUUGUUGCUUUCAAAUCUUUUAAAGAAACCAGCAGUAUGCGAGUUCGUCCGUCUGUCCGUUGGUUUGAGUGUGUUUGUUUCGUGCACCUGCUGCUGAGCCCAGUCGGCAUUCUGCAGAGAAGUUUCGGCAACAAGACUGAGAGAUUGCUGUGGAAUCUUCACCAAAGAUGUCAAUUUAUUUUCCUUUGGAAG
Non-coding RNA from Danio rerio (zebrafish), 429 nucleotides. The record is from Ensembl. Lineage: Eukaryota; Metazoa; Chordata; Actinopteri; Cypriniformes; Danionidae.